This 253-nucleotide ribosomal RNA is filed under the name uncultured bacterium. RNAcentral's name for it is "partial 16S ribosomal RNA". It matches the Rfam family "Bacterial small subunit ribosomal RNA", at positions 524 to 776 of the family's 1533-position model. The record is from RNAcentral.
UACGAAGGGGGCUAGCGUUGCUCGGAAUUACUGGGCGUAAAGGGCGCGUAGGCGGCUCGGCACGUCCGUUGUGAAAUCGCCCGGCUCAACUGGGCGGGGUCGGCGGAUACGGCCGAGCUGGAGCAAGCUAGGGGGUAAUGGAAUUCCCGGUGUAGUGGUGGAAUGCGUAGAUAUCGGGAGGAACACCAGUGGCGAAGGCGGUUACCUGGAGCUUUGCUGACGCUGAUGCGCGAAAGCGUGGGGAGCGAUCCGG